UAAGGAAUAUUGGACAAUGGCCGCAAGGCUGAUCCAGCCAUGCCGCGUGCAGGAAGACGGACCUAUGGUUUGUAAACUGCUUUUGAACCAGAGAAAACCCCCUUACGUGUAAGGGGCUGAUAGUAUGGUUAGAAUAAGCAUCGGCUAACUUCGUGCCAGCAGCCGCGGUAAGACGAAGGAUGCAAGCGUUAUCCGGAUUCAUUGGGUUUAAAGGGAGCGUAGGCGGAUUUGUAAGUCAGUGGUGAAAUCUCUUCGCUUAACGAAGAAACUGCCAUUGAUACUGCAGAUCUUGAGUAAAGUUGCCGUUGGCGGAAUAUGACAUGUAGUGGUGAAAUACUUAGAUAUGUCAUAGAACACCGAUUGCGAAGGCAGAUAACGAAGCUGUAACUGACGCUGAGGCUCGAAAGUGCGGGGAUCAAACAGG
Molecule: ribosomal RNA, 424 nt
Filed under: Acidobacteriota bacterium
Lineage: Bacteria; Pseudomonadati; Acidobacteriota
Description: Acidobacteria bacterium partial 16S ribosomal RNA
Rfam family: Bacterial small subunit ribosomal RNA
Source: RNAcentral